GAUGAACGCUAGCUACAGGCUUAACACAUGCAAGUCGAGGGGCAUCAGGAAGAAAGCUUGCUUUCUUUGCUGGCGACCGGCGCACGGGUGAGUAACACGUAUCCAACCUGCCCUUUACUCGGGGAUAGCCUUUCGAAAGAAAGAUUAAUACCCGAUGGCAUAAUGAUUCCGCAUGGUUUCAUUAUUAAAGGAUUCCGGUAAAGGAUGGGGAUGCGUUCCAUUAGGUUGUUGGUGAGGUAACGGCUCACCAAGCCUUCGAUGGAUAGGGGUUCUGAGAGGAAGGUCCCCCACAUUGGAACUGAGACACGGUCCAAACUCCUACGGGAGGCAGCAGUGAGGAAUAUUGGUCAAUGGGCGCUAGCCUGAACCAGCCAAGUAGCGUGAAGGAUGAAGGCUCUAUGGGUCGUAAACUUCUUUUAUAUAAGAAUAAAGUGCAGUAUGUAUACUGUUUUGUAUGUAUUAUAUGAAUAAGGAUCGGCUAACUCCGUGCCAGCAGCCGCGGUAAUACGGAGGAUCCGAGCGUUAUCCGGAUUUAUUGGGUUUAAAGGGAGCGUAGGUGGACCGGUAAGUCAGUUGUGAAAGUUUGCGGCUCAACCGUAAAAUUGCAGUUGAUACUGUCAGUCUUGAGUACAGUAGAGGUGGGCGGAAUUCGUGGUGUAGUGGUGAAAUGCUUAGAUAUCACGAAGAACUCCGAUUGCGAAGGCAGCUCACUGGACUGCAACUGACACUGAUGCUCGAAAGUGUGGGUAUCAAACAGGAUUAGAUACCCUGGUAGUCCACACAGUAAACGAUGAAUACUCGCUGUUUGCGAUAUACAGUAAGCGGCCAAGCGAAAGCAUUAAGUAUUCCACCUGGGGAGUACGCCGGCAACGGUGAAACUCAAAGGAAUUGACGGGGGCCCGCACAAGCGGAGGAACAUGUGGUUUAAUUCGAUGAUACGCGAGGAACCUUACCCGGGCUUAAAUUGCAGUGGAAUGAUGUGGAAACAUGUCAGUGAGCAAUCACCGCUGUGAAGGUGCUGCAUGGUUGUCGUCAGCUCGUGCCGUGAGGUGUCGGCUUAAGUGCCAUAACGAGCGCAACCCUUAUCUUCAGUUACUAACAGGUCAUGCUGAGGACUCUGGAGAGACUGCCGUCGUAAGAUGUGAGGAAGGUGGGGAUGACGUCAAAUCAGCACGGCCCUUACGUCCGGGGCUACACACGUGUUACAAUGGGGGGUACAGAAGGCAGCUAGCGGGUGACCGUAUGCUAAUCCCAAAAUCCUCUCUCAGUUCGGAUCGAAGUCUGCAACCCGACUUCGUGAAGCUGGAUUCGCUAGUAAUCGCGCAUCAGCCACGGCGCGGUGAAUACGUUCCCGGGCCU
RNAcentral lists this ribosomal RNA (1359 nucleotides) under uncultured bacterium. RNAcentral describes it as "bacterial SSU rRNA". It matches the Rfam family "Bacterial small subunit ribosomal RNA", at positions 28 to 1381 of the family's 1533-position model. The record is from RNAcentral.